UUGGAGGGCAAGUCUGGUGCCAGCAGCCGCGGUAAUUCCAGCUCCAAUAGCGUAUAUUAAAGUUGUUGCAGUUAAAAAGCUCGUAGUUGAAUUUCGGGGUCAGUAGGCUGGUCGUGCCACAGGUAUGUACUGGUCUCACUGAUUCCUCCUUCCUGAUGAACCGUAAUGCCAUUAAUUUGGUGUUGCGGGGAAUCUGGACUGUUACUUUGAAAAAAUUAGAGUGUUUAAAGCAGGCUAACGCUUGAAUACAUUAGCAUGGAAUAAUGAAAUAGGACGUUCGAUCCUAUUUUGUUGGUUUCUAGGAUUGACGUAAUGAUUAAUAGGGAUAGUUGGGGGCAUUAGUAUUCAAUUGUCAGAGGUGAAAUUCUUGGAUUUAUUGAAGACUAACUACUGCGAAAGCAUUUGCCAAGGAUGUUUCCAUUAAUCAAGAACGAAAGUUAGGGGAUCGAAGACGAUCAGAUACCGUCGUAGUCUUAACCAUAAACUAUGCCGACUAGGGAUCGGAUGAUGUUAAUUUUUUAAUGACUCAUUCGGCGCCUUACGGGAAA
RNAcentral lists this ribosomal RNA (548 nucleotides) under uncultured Glomeromycotina. RNAcentral describes it as "SSU rRNA". It matches the Rfam family "Eukaryotic small subunit ribosomal RNA", at positions 548 to 1097 of the family's 1831-position model. Lineage: Eukaryota; Fungi; Glomeromycota. The record is from RNAcentral.